Molecule: ribosomal RNA, 433 nt
Filed under: uncultured bacterium
Lineage: Bacteria
Description: partial 16S ribosomal RNA
Rfam family: Bacterial small subunit ribosomal RNA
Source: RNAcentral
AAUGAACGCUGGCGGUAUGCCUAACACAUGCAAGUCGAACGAGACCACCGGGUCUAGUGGCGCAUGGGUGCGUCACGUGUGGGAACCUGCCCUUAGGCUUGGAAUAAUACCUCGAAAGGGGUGCUAAUAUCGGAAAACGUCUUCGGAUAAAAGAUUCAUCUCCCUUGGAUGGGCCCGCGUUGGUUUAGCUAGUUGGUAGGGUAAAAGCCUACCAAGGAGACGUUCCAUAGCUGGUCAGAGAGGAUGAUCAGCCACACUGGGACUGGGACACGGCCCAGACUCCUGCAGGAUGCAGCAGAGGGGAAUAUUGGAAUAAGGGCGAAAUCCUGAACCAGCAAUGCCGCGUGAGUGAUGAAGUUCUUAAAGAUGUAAAGCACUUUUACCCGGGGUGAUAAUGACAGUACCAAAAGAAUAAGCACCGGCUAACUCCGUG